GGACGGAGAACUGAUAAGGAU
Molecule: microRNA, 21 nt
Filed under: Cordylochernes scorpioides
Lineage: Eukaryota; Metazoa; Arthropoda; Arachnida; Pseudoscorpiones; Chernetidae
Source: RNAcentral